GAGAGUGGCGGAAUUGGUAGACGCACUGGAUUUAGGUUCCAGCGCCGCAAGGCGUGGAGGUUCGAGUCCUCUCAUCCGCACCA
RNAcentral lists this transfer RNA (83 nucleotides) under Hyphomonas adhaerens. Its description in RNAcentral is "tRNA-Leu". It matches the Rfam family "tRNA". From Rfam's summary of the family: Transfer RNA (tRNA) molecules are approximately 80 nucleotides in length. Their secondary structure includes four short double-helical elements and three loops (D, anti-codon, and T loops). Further hydrogen bonds mediate the characteristic L-shaped molecular structure. tRNAs have two regions of fundamental functional importance: the anti-codon, which is responsible for specific mRNA codon recognition, and the 3' end, to which the tRNAs corresponding amino acid is attached (by aminoacyl-tRNA synthetases). tRNAs cope with the degeneracy of the genetic code in two manners: having more than one tRNA (with a specific anti-codon) for a particular amino acid; and 'wobble' base-pairing, i.e. permitting non-standard base-pairing at the 3rd anti-codon position. The record is from RNAcentral. Lineage: Bacteria; Pseudomonadati; Pseudomonadota; Alphaproteobacteria; Hyphomonadales; Hyphomonadaceae.